GACGAACGCUGGCGGCGUGCCUAAUACAUGCAAGUAGAACGCACAGUUUAUACCGUAGCUUGCUACACCAUAGACUGUGAGUUGCGAACGGGUGAGUAACGCGUAGGUAACCUGCCUGGUAGCGGGGGAUAACUAUUGGAAACGAUAGCUAAUACCGCAUAAUAUUGAUUAUUGCAUGAUAAUUAAUUGAAAGGUGCAAUUGCACCACUACCAGAUGGACCUGCGUUGUAUUAGCUAGUAGGUGAGGUAACGGCUCACCUAGGCGACGAUACAUAGCCGACCUGAGAGGGUGAUCGGCCACACUGGGACUGAGACACGGCCCAGACGCCUACGGGAGGCAGCAGUAGGGAAUCGUCGGCAAUGGACGAAAGUCUGACCGAGCAACGCCGCGUGAGUGAAGAAGGUUUUCGGAUCGUAAAGCUCUGUUGUAAGAGAAGAACGGGUGUGAGAGUGGAAAGUUCACACUGUGACGGUAUCUUACCAGAAAGGGACGGCUAACUACGUG
Molecule: ribosomal RNA, 505 nt
Filed under: uncultured bacterium
Lineage: Bacteria
Description: partial 16S ribosomal RNA
Rfam family: Bacterial small subunit ribosomal RNA
Source: RNAcentral